GCCCGCCUCCCGCCUGGCGCCGCCAGCCGGUGCCUCCCGCUGACACCACCACCCCCGAACGCCUGCCGCCACCACAUGCCUUCUUCCCGCUGACGCUGACCUUCGCUGCCUUCGCCAAUGCUCACUGACUGCCCAGCGCUCUCCGCUGCCAGACGCCUUCAGACUCCUGCCGCCGCCACCAGAGGCCCUCUUGCCAGGGACCCGGCUCCCUCGUUCUCACACAGGCCUCGCCAACUUGCAGCACCUCAGCUCAUAGUCUCCACAGGGAACAACUUCAUCUCUCUGAACUCAACUUAACGAAAGUUCUACUUGACCCAUUUCUGCAAACAUUUGCUGCUCUCUACCGCCAGGGUCACACGAGGCAGAAGGACCCAGUGGGGAGGCGCCUGCAGGGCCUUGGCUCCAGGACGGGACAGCGUGCGGCAGGGUCCCCGUGAGGAGCACACCCCCUUUGUGCCCCGAAUGCAGAGGAGGAGGCUGGGCCGCCGCUUCUCCAGGCCUUUGACCUUCAGCCGCAGACCAGAGCCUUCCCUUCUGUGCCAUCCCCCAUGACUGACUCUCUACGCCUUCAGGGACUCUUAGAAGUCACAGUGGUACCUGGAGCAGAGAGCAGCAGGAGCCAGAAGCCUUCUGGAGCCCCUUGUCACCAAGACACAGCCACGCUAUUGAGUUUUGAGGCAACAUCUAACAUGUUUCUUUGAAUUGUCAAUACAUUUUGAAGACAUUGCUUCAGCAGCACGUAAGCCUCGUUCUUGAAUUCUCCAGGAGAUUCUGUAAAUUACUUUAAUGCUUAAAAAAAAAGCCACUUCUUUGCCUUAGUGAAUUCUACAGUAUGCAACUAAAGAAUCCUGACCAAUACACUGUCUCCCUCAUUCCCAUUCCUAAAUGACUCUUACAUAUUUUAGCUGUUUCUUUUGUUUUUCUAGUAUUUGUAGACUUUUCAGUUUUAGAGAUUGUGGACACUCAUACCACAAAAGGCAUGGGUUAAGUUCUCUUAUGUUUCAUCCUAACACAGAGACUUCCCCUGCCCCAGCCUGUCAUAUAGAUACAAAAACUUUUUGGUUAAAUCACAUCUGAAUUUUUACCAUGUAAAGUUAGUCUCAGCUGAGUCAUGUAGUGUGCUAUGAUUACCCUGCUUUCCAUGUACAAAAUUUUAUCUAUCCUAUAGUUAAUACUUUUCUUAUUAUAUCAUUUGCUUGGCUUAGUACACAUUAACUCAUUCCCAAAUUCAUUUCCACUAGUGUACACCUCUUCUAACUACAUAAACCACACCAGGUACUAAAUCAGAUUUCUCUUUUAAAAAUAUUCUGCCUGGAGCUUUCCAUAUGCUUUCUUAAACCUGGGUUGGCUAGUCUUUGACUGUUGUGGAGCCUGCGUCCUGGGGUUUGUUACCCAUAAUCCUGGGGAUUCUCUUUCCCUCAAUACUAUGUUAGACCCUGUGAUUCCACCCAUCCCUCUUCUUUCCUAGUUUAUGCCCUUGUGUCAGUGAGCAAAUCCACCAGAAGCAUCUUUGGAAGCUUCAUUAGAGAUUAAGAAGUAGCUCACAGAAUCUCCAAGAGGACAGGAGAAUAGGGUUUGGAGACUGCAUCCAGAAACAAUAUCCAAAUUAUCCAACAAUCUAUAUUAAGGUGUUCCUAUACCUCCUGUGGUCAAAGGCACCAAAGACCUUGAAGAAGGGACACUACCAACUAGAAUUUAUGCCACUAUUGCCUCUGAAAACCCAAUCUCUCACCACCCUCUCCAGGAACAGAUCCUGUACAAAAUCGAUUCCCUCACAUUCCCUCCAAUUGAGGUCUCCAUAAAAGUGUCUGACUGGAGGAGCCCAGGUCAUCUGCCUACAUAUUUGCUGCAAUAGAUGCUGGACAGUUGAGUUCUGGCUUCAACCUUGUCAAGGCAAGGGUCAUAAUGUGGGAAUUUCCCAAUGUAAAAAGGGAAUUCAAAAUUGGCUGGUCACAAAUAUAACCACUGUCUAGCAAAGUUUGCAUGUCUGAAGUGUCUUUGUUGUAAUUUUACACUUUUCUUUUGGGAUUCUGAUGACAUUGUUUCACUGAAUUCUAGCAUCUAGAAAUCCAAAACCAAUUUGUUUUCUGAUCCUUUUUGUGCAAACCACUUUUACUCUCUGUAUACCUUGAGGAUUUUCUUUUGCUCUUAUUUUUUCAGAUUUAAUCAAGAUAAUUGGUCUUAUUUGUCAACAAUUGUCCUAGAAAUUCUGAUGUAGA
Molecule: non-coding RNA, 2219 nt
Organism: Manis javanica (Malayan pangolin)
Lineage: Eukaryota; Metazoa; Chordata; Mammalia; Pholidota; Manidae
Source: RefSeq, a predicted model, not a curated record